This 118-nucleotide ribosomal RNA is filed under the name uncultured bacterium. Its description in RNAcentral is "partial 16S ribosomal RNA". It matches the Rfam family "Bacterial small subunit ribosomal RNA", at positions 1367 to 1482 of the family's 1533-position model. The record is from RNAcentral.
UACGUUCCCGGGCCUUGUACACACCGCCCGUCACACCAUGGAAGUUGGUUGUACCGGAAGUUAGUGAGCCAACCCGCAAGGGAAGCAACUACCCAGGGUACGACUGGUAACCGGGGUG